GAUGAACGCUGACAGAAUGCUUAACACAUGCAAGUCAACUUGAAUUUGGGUUUUUACCUUAGGUUUGGGUGGCGGACGGGUGAGUAACGCGUAGAGAACUUGCCUCACAGCUAGGGACAACAUUUGGAAACGAAUGCUAAUACCUAAUAUUAUGAUAAUAGGGCAUCCUAUAAUUAUGAAAGCUAUAAGCGCUGUGAGAGAGCUUUGCGUCCCAUUAGCUAGUUGGAGAGGUAACGGCUCACCAAGGCGAUGAUGGGUAGCCGGCCUGAGAGGGUGAUCGGCCACAAGGGGACUGAGACACGGCCCUUACUCCUACGGGAGGCAGCAGUGGGGAAUAUUGGACAAUGGACCGAGAGUCUGAUCCAGCAAUUCUGUGUGCACGAUGAAGUUUUUCGGAAUGUAAAGUGCUUUCAGUUGGGAAGAAACAAAUGACGGUACCAACAGAAGAAGUGACGGCUAAAUACGUG
RNAcentral lists this ribosomal RNA (467 nucleotides) under uncultured bacterium. RNAcentral describes it as "partial 16S ribosomal RNA". It matches the Rfam family "Bacterial small subunit ribosomal RNA", at positions 28 to 507 of the family's 1533-position model. The record is from RNAcentral.